This 16-nucleotide small RNA is filed under the name Arabidopsis thaliana (thale cress). Its description in RNAcentral is "ATSL114950". Lineage: Eukaryota; Viridiplantae; Streptophyta; Magnoliopsida; Brassicales; Brassicaceae. The record is from RNAcentral.
AUUUGUUUUUAGUGAU